UGGGGAAUAUUGCACAAUGGGCGCAAGCCUGAUGCAGCCAUGCCGCGUGUAUGAAGAAGGCCUUCGGGUUGUAAAGUACUUUCAGCGGGGAGGAAGGGAGUAAAGUUAAUACCUUUGCUCAUUGACGUUACCCGCAGAAGAAGCACCGGCUAACUCCGUGCCAGCAGCCGCGGUAAUACGGAGGGUGCAAGCGUUAAUCGGAAUUACUGGGCGUAAAGCGCACGCAGGCGGUUUGUUAAGUCAGAUGUGAAAUCCCCGGGCUCAACCUGGGAACUGCAUCUGAUACUGGCAAGCUUGAGUCUCGUAGAGGGGGGUAGAAGUCCAAGUGUAGCGAUGAAAUGCGUAGAGAUCUGGAGGAAUACCGGUGGCGAAGGCGGCCCCCUGGACAAGGACUGACGCUCAGGUGCGAAAGCAUGGGAAGCAAACAGG
This 429-nucleotide ribosomal RNA is filed under the name Chloroflexota bacterium. RNAcentral describes it as "Chloroflexi bacterium partial 16S ribosomal RNA". It matches the Rfam family "Bacterial small subunit ribosomal RNA", at positions 355 to 776 of the family's 1533-position model. Lineage: Bacteria; Bacillati; Chloroflexota. The record is from RNAcentral.